This is a long non-coding RNA of Aegilops tauschii subsp. strangulata, 1662 nucleotides long. RefSeq lists it as uncharacterized. The record is from RefSeq and is a predicted model, not a curated record. NCBI's taxonomy places the organism in Eukaryota, Viridiplantae, Streptophyta, Magnoliopsida, Poales, Poaceae.
UGAACUAGGGGUGCUACCACGACGGCUACCUCCGUCGCCAGCUCAGCACCAAAUUCUCGCGACAGCUACAACUGCUCCAUAUUACCGAUGUAGCUUCCCAUCCCCAUCUGCUCCAUCGGUCCCUGCUCUCACCUUCGGUCGACCAUGCCUCCUUCGCCGCCCCAUUCCCCCGCCAGACCUUACCCCAUCACCAUCCCUCCCACCAUGCUGGUGUGGCAUUUUGGCUCAGGAAACAAGCUGCACGCGCGUCCCAGGCAUCGUCCCACUAGUAUCUUUCAUAUAGCAUAUUUCAAUCCAAUCGGCAACUGGAACUACAAAUAUGUAAUUUUCUUCCAUAGUUGCUAAUACCAGUGUUAUUCCAAUUGAAACAUGCAAUGCUUCUAUAUUAUAUUACAUAUCUUUUUUUCUUAUAUGUAAUUUGCUUCCAUAGUCCCAUCCUAUUCUUUGAUUAUUCAUUCUUCUAUUUCUGCCAGCACUGUUAUAAAAUAUACAUUGUCGUUGUCCUUCCUUCAUGCUAUUUUCAUCUCUGACAACGACACCCAGAUGGAUCCCCCGCACUGCUCCACACGACACGGCCCUUGGUCUGCCUGCAACCUGGGGCUUUGUCUUGAGUAGCCUGGCUGCACAUCCCAAUCCUUGUGGCAAGCUUUCCAAUUUGUGAAUUUAAUGACUUCUCGUAAGUGGUAGCACAAUUUUUGUGGUCUAUUUUCUUUGCUUCAACUAUAACUGAAAUUUGGGUUGACCAAUACCAUCCGUGCUUCUUACUUGUGGUUAAUAUUGCAUCAGGCAAUACUAGUUCAUGCUUCUUAUAUUUCCCAUAGUUAUUUCGAAUAGGUAGAUUUACCAUUUUUCAAAUUCUUGCUAGCAAUGAUUCGAAGUUUGUCAAUUUGUCUUUCCAUGCUUUUGAAUAAUUAUUUAAAGUACUAUCUAGCCAUGAUUGUCUGCAUGCGAAUCAUCUCCGGCAUGUUUCCAUUACUAACCUUUUUUUAUUUACUUUCAUUCUUCCAAACAUACCAGCGUAUGUUUAGGUAUCAGCUGACGGGUUUAUAGUUGAUAUUUAAGUAUGCUUCCAGUUGAGAUGAGUUAUGUUGGGAUAGCACUAUUUAGAUGUGUCUUACAUGCUGCGGAGUUUCUAAGUUAUAAAACAUAUGCUUCUUCGAGGUCCCUUGCUUCUUUUAUAAAAAAUGUUCACAUUAUUAUCACUGAUGUAAUAUGACACACUCACCAUAUGAUAUGACAUUUGUUUCUUUGGUCUACAUAUUUUGCUUUCAUAUAGAUUACUUACAUAUUUUUCAUAAUUGCCAGUGUACUACAAUUUAUAUGUUUUCAGUUCACCAGAAAUAAUGAACCAGAUCGACGAAGAGUUAUGCUGAAGCGAACGGCACAUUUUAUAAGGAGCGUCAUGACACUUGGAUCGGACCCCAGAUCUCAUGCUAGAUGUAGGGAAGCAAGUCUGUAGUCUAUAGGAAACUUACCAUAUGAACUGAAAAACAUUGUAUCGAAGGAAGCAUGUUUGUGGCACAUGAAGAUGGUGUAUGGAGCGCGGAAACAAACUUAUGUUUGGUUAGAAGCAAAUUAUUUUUGUGAUGAAAACACUUUUGUAUGGGAUGGAAGCAAAGUUUUCUUGUGUGGUAACAUAAUAAAAAAUAUGCAUGAGACCGA